GAGAGCCAAGAGAUCCGUUGUUGAAAGUUGUUUCGUUUGUAGGCGAAUCAGAGUUCGCUUUGACAUUCGUUAAAACUGGAGUUUUUGAAUGCGGCCUCAGGCGCUAGGCGCCGUCAGCCGUGAAGGAGCACAGUGGGGUUUGUGGGUUGUGAGUCGGCGUCGGAGACCCGCUGCACGGCCGCGAGGGCUGGAGCAGGGCACACCCGAUCGCCUCCUCGGAGAUACGAUAAUGAUCCUU
This 238-nucleotide unclassified non-coding RNA is filed under the name uncultured Basidiomycota. RNAcentral's name for it is "sequence contains ITS1". Lineage: Eukaryota; Fungi; Basidiomycota. The record is from RNAcentral.